Molecule: ribosomal RNA, 408 nt
Filed under: uncultured bacterium
Lineage: Bacteria
Description: partial 16S ribosomal RNA
Rfam family: Bacterial small subunit ribosomal RNA
Source: RNAcentral
GACGAACGCUGGCGGCGUGCUUAACACAUGCAAGUCGAACGAAGUGGCGAACGGGUGAGUAACGCGUAAUCACCCUGCCCUUCAGAGGGGGACAACAGUUGCAAACGACUGCUAAUACCGCAUACGGAAGGAGGGGAUUGCGUCUGAUUAGCUAGUUGGAGGGGUAACGGCCCACCAAGGCGAUGAUCAGUAGCCGGUCUGCGAGGAGUAACGGCCAACGUUGGACUGAGACACUGCCCAGACUCCUACGGGAGGCAGCAGUGGGUAUUCUUCCGCAAUGGACGAAAGUCGGACGGAGCAACGCCGCGUGAGUGAUGACGGCCUUCGGGUUGUAAAGCUCUGUUAAUCGGGACGCGGUACCGGAAUAGAAAGCCACGGCUAACUACGUGCCAGCCGCCGCGGUAAUAC